Molecule: ribosomal RNA, 272 nt
Filed under: uncultured Streptococcus sp.
Lineage: Bacteria; Bacillati; Bacillota; Bacilli; Lactobacillales; Streptococcaceae
Description: partial 16S ribosomal RNA
Rfam family: Bacterial small subunit ribosomal RNA
Source: RNAcentral
GUUAGUUGCCAUCAUUCAGUUGGGCACUCUAGCGAGACUGCCGGUAAUAAACCGGAGGAAGGUGGGGAGUGACGUCAAAUCAUCAUGCCCCUUAUGACCUGGGCUACACACGUGCUACAAUGGUUGGUACAACGAGUUGCGAGUCGGUGACGGCGAGCUAAUCUCUUAAAGCCAAUCUCAGUUCGGAUUGUAGGCUGCAACUCGCCUACAUGAAGUCGGAAUCGCUAGUAAUCGCGGAUCAGCACGCCGCGGUGAAUACGUUCCCGGGCCUU